UUAUCUGAGAGCUCCCUGUAAUGCUGAGCAAUUCAGAAAGAGAGGAGGCCCACUUGGAAAAAUCUUUUGGGGAAGGGUUUGAUGAGGAUGACGUGCAGAGUUUGAAGGGAAACUUGCAGCUUUUGGGAUCUCACUUGAAGAUUUCAGUGGUGGUGGCAAAGAGCUCAUGGGGGAGAAAAAUUAUAAAGAAUAAUCCAAAUUAUAAAUGAGUAUCCUGUCCAGGCCUGGGAUCUCUCGUGUUAGAAG
Long non-coding RNA from Serinus canaria (Common canary), 246 nucleotides. RefSeq lists it as uncharacterized. The transcript has 3 exons. NCBI's taxonomy places the organism in Eukaryota, Metazoa, Chordata, Aves, Passeriformes, Fringillidae. The record is from RefSeq and is a predicted model, not a curated record.